RNAcentral lists this ribosomal RNA (253 nucleotides) under uncultured bacterium. RNAcentral describes it as "partial 16S ribosomal RNA". It matches the Rfam family "Bacterial small subunit ribosomal RNA", at positions 524 to 776 of the family's 1533-position model. The record is from RNAcentral.
UACGAAGGGUGCAACCGUUGCUCGGAAUUAUUGGGCGUAAAGCGCACGUAGGCGGCUUAGCAAGUCGGAUGUGAAAUCCCUCGGCUCAACCAAGGAAGUGCAUCCGAAACUGCUGAGCUUGAGUACGAAAGAGGAUCGCGGAAUUCCCGGUGUAGAGGUGAUAUUCGUAGAUAUCGGGAGGAACACCAGUGGCGAAGGCGGCGAUCUGGGUCGAUACUGACGCUGAGGUGCGAAAGCGUGGGGAGCGAACAGG